RNAcentral lists this ribosomal RNA (759 nucleotides) under uncultured bacterium. RNAcentral describes it as "bacterial SSU rRNA". It matches the Rfam family "Bacterial small subunit ribosomal RNA", at positions 28 to 776 of the family's 1533-position model. The record is from RNAcentral.
GAUGAACGCUAGCUACAGGUCUUAACACAUGCAAGUCGAGGGGCAUCAGGAAGAAAGCUUGCUUUCUUUGCUGGCGACCGGCGCACGGGUGAGUAACACGUAUCCAACCUGCCCUUUACUCGGGGAUAGCCUUUCGAAAGAAAGAUUAAUACCCGAUGGCAUAAUGAUUCCGCAUGGUUUCAUUAUUAAAGGAUUCCGGUAAAGGAUGGGGAUGCGUUCCAUUAGGUUGUUGGUGAGGUAACGGCUCACCAAGCCUUCGAUGGAUAGGGGUUCUGAGAGGAAGGUCCCCCACAUUGGAACUGAGACACGGUCCAAACUCCUACGGGAGGCAGCAGUGAGGAAUAUUGGUCAAUGGGCGCUAGCCUGAACCAGCCAAGUAGCGUGAAGGAUGAAGGCUCUAUGGGUCGUAAACUUCUUUUAUAUAAGAAUAAAGUGCAGUAUGUAUACUGUUUUGUAUGUAUUAUAUGAAUAAGGAUCGGCUAACUCCGUGCCAGCAGCCGCGGUAAUACGGAGGAUCCGAGCGUUAUCCGGAUUUAUUGGGUUUAAAGGGAGCGUAGGUGGACUGGUAAGUCAGUUGUGAAAGUUUGCGGCUCAACCGUAAAAUUGCAGUUGAUACUGUCAGUCUUGAGUACAGUAGAGGUGGGCGGAAUUCGUGGUGUAGCGGUGAAAUGCUUAGAUAUCACGAAGAACUCCGAUUGCGAAGGCAGCUCACUGGACUGCAACUGACACUGAUGCUCGAAAGUGUGGGUAUCAAACAGG